GGCCUAACACAUGCAAGUCGAACGAGACCUUCGGGUCUAGUGGCGCACGGGUGCGUAACGCGUGGGAAUCUGCCCUUGGGUUCGGGAUAACAGUUGGAAACGACUGCUAAUACCGGAUGAUGACUUCGGUCCAAAGAUUUAUCGCCCAGGGAUGAGCCCGCGUAGGAUUAGCUAGUUGGUGAGGUAAAGGCUCACCAAGGCGACGAUCCUUAGCUGGUCUGAGAGGAUGAUCAGCCACACUGGGACUGAGACACGGCCCAGACUCCUACGGGAGGCAGCAGUGGGGAAUAUUGGACAAUGGGCGAAAGCCUGAUCCAGCAAUGCCGCGUGAGUGAUGAAGGCCUUAGGGUUGUAAAGCUCUUUUACCCGGGAUGAUAAUGACAGUACCGGGAGAAUAAGCCCCGGCUAACUCCGUGCCAGCAGCCGCGGUAAUACGGAGGGGGUUAGCGU
This 450-nucleotide ribosomal RNA is filed under the name uncultured Alphaproteobacteria bacterium. Its description in RNAcentral is "bacterial SSU rRNA". It matches the Rfam family "Bacterial small subunit ribosomal RNA", at positions 45 to 541 of the family's 1533-position model. Lineage: Bacteria; Pseudomonadati; Pseudomonadota; Alphaproteobacteria. The record is from RNAcentral.